UUCAAAAAAAUAUAUGAAUCAGUCAGGUUGAUAAGGCUUGCUACAAGCCCUGUGAUGCUCUCAACUUUUGAAGAUGGGAAGAUAGUUAGGGGUCUUGCUGGAGUUCCUUCUGAAGGACCAGUCUUGUAUGUUGGCUAUCACAUGUUACUGGGUUUUGAAUUGGCUCCAAUGGUGUCCCAAUUUUUUUUUGAAAGAAAUAUUCUUCUGAGGGGGAUAGCACAUCCUUCCAUGUUUAGGAGAUUGAAAGAAGGGAGGUUACCUCCAAUGUCACAAUAUGACAUAUUCAGGAUAAUGGGUGCAGUGCCUGUUUCAGGAACCCUUUUCUACAAACUUCUGUCUUCCAAGGCUCAUGUGCUGUUGUAUCCAGGAGGCGUGCGUGAGGCCUGUCAUCGGAAGGGUGAAGCAUACAAGUUAUUCUGGCCAGAACAUUCUGAGUUUGUUAGGAUGGCAGCUAGGUUUGGAGCCAAAAUUGUGCCAUUUGGUGUUGUUGGAGAAGAUGACUUUUUUGAAGUAUUUUUUGACUAUGAUGACCAAAUGAAGGUUCCUUUCCUUAGGGAUUACAUAAUAGACAUAGCGAAGGAGUCCAAGAGUGUGAGGACUGAAGAAAAUGGUGAAGUGGGAAACCAAGAUAUGCACCUUCCAGGAGUCCUACCAAAAUUUCCUGGCAGAUUCUAUUAUUAUUUUGGGAAACCAAUUGAAACACAAGGGAGGAAGGAAUUAAAAGACAGAGAGAAAGCUCAUGAA
Molecule: unclassified non-coding RNA, 744 nt
Filed under: Hevea brasiliensis (rubber tree)
Lineage: Eukaryota; Viridiplantae; Streptophyta; Magnoliopsida; Malpighiales; Euphorbiaceae
Source: RNAcentral